RNAcentral lists this transfer RNA (73 nucleotides) under Ixodes scapularis (black-legged tick). RNAcentral describes it as "tRNA-Phe for anticodon GAA". The record is from RNAcentral. Lineage: Eukaryota; Metazoa; Arthropoda; Arachnida; Ixodida; Ixodidae.
UCCUGGUUAGCUCGGUUGGUAGAACGCUCCACCGAAAGUGACGAGGUCCCUGGUUCGAUACCUGGACCGGGCG